Molecule: ribosomal RNA, 490 nt
Filed under: uncultured Glomus
Lineage: Eukaryota; Fungi; Glomeromycota; Glomeromycetes; Glomerales; Glomeraceae
Description: SSU rRNA
Rfam family: Eukaryotic small subunit ribosomal RNA
Source: RNAcentral
UAUUAAAGUUGUUGCAGUUAAAAAGCUCGUAGUUGAAUUUCGGGAUCAAAUUGUCGGUCGUGCCUCGGUACGUACUGGCGUUAUUGGUUCCUCCCUUCUGAAGAACCGCGAUGUCAUUAAUUUGGUGUCGCGGGGAAUCAGGACUGUUACUUUGAAAAAAUUAGAGUGUUUAAAGCAGGCUCGCGCUUGAAUACAUUAGCAUGGAAUAAUGAAAUAGGACGUUUGAUUCUAUUUUGUUGGUUUCUAGGAUCGACGUAAUGAUUAAUAGGGAUAGUUGGGGGCAUUAGUAUUCAAUUGUCAGAGGUGAAAUUCUUGGAUUUAUUGAAGACUAACUACUGCGAAAGCAUUUGCCAAGGAUGUUUUCAUUAAUCAAGAACGAAAGUUAGGGGAUCGAAGACGAUCAGAUACCGUCGUAGUCUUAACCAUAAACUAUGCCGACUAGGGAUCGGAUGAUGUUAAUUUUUUAAUGACUCAUUCGGCGCCUUACGGG